ACGGCGAGUGAAGCGGCAAAAGCUCAAAUUUUAAAGCUGACAUCUUCGGUGUCCGCGUUGUAAUUUUGUGAGGCAUCUCCGGGUAGGGCGCCGGCCUAAGUUCCUUGGAACAGGACGUCACAGAGGGUGAGAAUCCCGUGCUUGGCUGGCUGUCCCCGUCCAUGUGAGGUGUCUUCGACGAGUCGAGUUGUUUGGGAAUGCAGCUCAAAAUGGGUGGUAAAUUUCAUCUAAAGCUAAAUAUUGGUGGGAGACCGAUAGCGCACAAGUAGAGUGAUCGAAAGAUGAAAAGCACUUUGAAAAUAGAGUUAAAAAGUACGUGAAAUUGUUGAAAGGGAAGCGCUUGAGACCAGACUUCGGUAAGGGGUGAUCAGCCGUCCUUCUGGGCGGUGCACUUGCCCCCCUCCGGGCCAGCAUCGGUUGAGGCGGCGGGAUAAAGGUCCCGGGAAUGUGGCUCCUUCACGGGAGUGUUAUAGCCCGGGUGAAUGCCGCCAGCUUCGACCGAGGACCGCACCCGCAAGGGUUAGGAUGCUU
RNAcentral lists this ribosomal RNA (531 nucleotides) under Morchella arbutiphila. Its description in RNAcentral is "partial 28S ribosomal RNA". It matches the Rfam family "Eukaryotic large subunit ribosomal RNA", at positions 86 to 628 of the family's 3401-position model. Lineage: Eukaryota; Fungi; Ascomycota; Pezizomycetes; Pezizales; Morchellaceae. The record is from RNAcentral.